AGGGGGCUAGUUUAAAAUAGAAUAUAAGCCUGUCUAGCUUGCAGUACAUCGGAAGAUGUGCCCCCUU
Molecule: transfer RNA, 67 nt
Filed under: Nipponacmea nigrans
Lineage: Eukaryota; Metazoa; Mollusca; Gastropoda; Lottiidae
Description: tRNA-Asp
Source: RNAcentral